This 497-nucleotide ribosomal RNA is filed under the name uncultured bacterium. RNAcentral's name for it is "partial 16S ribosomal RNA". It matches the Rfam family "Bacterial small subunit ribosomal RNA", at positions 28 to 507 of the family's 1533-position model. The record is from RNAcentral.
GAUGAACGCUGGCGGCGUGCCUAAUACAUGCAAGUCGAGCGAACAGAUGAGGAGCUUGCUCCUCUGACGCUAGCGGCGGACGGGUGAGUAACACGUGGAUAACCUACCUAUAAGACUGGGAUAACUUCGGGAAACCGGAGCUAAUACCGGAUAAUAUAUUGAACCGCAUGGUUCAAUAGUUAAAGACGGUUUUGCUGUCACUUAUAGAUGGAUCCGCGCCGCAUUAGCUAGUUGGUAAGGUAACGGCUUACCAAGGCAACGAUGCGUAGCCGACCUGAGAGGGUGAUCGGCCACACUGGAACUGAGACACGGUCCAGACUCCUACGGGAGGCAGCAGUAGGGAAUCUUCCGCAAUGGGCGAAAGCCUGACGGAGCAACGCCGCGUGAGUGAUGAAGGUCUUCGGAUCGUAAAACUCUGUUAUUAGGGAAGAACAAAUGUGUAAGUAACUAUGCACGUCUUGACGGUACCUAAUCAGAAAGCCACGGCUAACUACGUG